AUACGUAGGUGACAAGCGUUAUCCGGAUUUACUGGGCGUAAAGGGCGUGUAGGCGGUCUUGCAAGUCAGAAGUGAAAUUCCUGAGCUCAACUCGGGCGCUGCUUCUGAAACUGCAGGACUUGAGUGCUGGAGGGGAUAGCGGAAUUCCUAGUGGAGCGGUAAAAUGCGCAGAUAUUAGGAAGAACACCGGUGGCGAAGGUGGCUAUCUGGACAGUAACUGACGCUGAGGCUCGAAAGCGUGGGGAGCAAACAGGAUUAGAUACCCUGGUAGUCCACGCCGUAAACGAUGGGUGCUAAGUGUUGGAGGGUUUCCGCCCUUCAGUGCUGCAGCUAACGCAUUAAGCACUCCGCCUGGGGAGUACGGCCGCAAGGCUGAAACUCAAAUGAAUUGACGGGG
Molecule: ribosomal RNA, 397 nt
Filed under: uncultured bacterium
Lineage: Bacteria
Description: partial 16S ribosomal RNA
Rfam family: Bacterial small subunit ribosomal RNA
Source: RNAcentral